CGAGCCCGAAGCAAGGAAGCGAAACGCCUCUGAAUACGCUCUUGUAAUUUUCCACGAUAUAUUUUGCCAGUUGCCGCUUGUUAUCUGCCCGUCUAACAACGCAGCUCGACGUGUAUUCGCCUCUGCCCGAAAGCGACGUUUUUCCACGAAAAUAUUUUGCGAAAAAUGUUUCUCCAAAAAAUUAAUUCACCGAAACUCUCUCCUCCUUUUCAUUGAGCCAAUAAGGGAACGCGUAUUAAAUUCUUUUUAAUACCAAUAUAAUACACGAAACUUGUAAUCUCUUUAUAAAUUAAUUUGACAAUUUACCAACCGCUUCUUCCAGCAUCAUUAAAACUCUGCUACAUCCGUGUCUCGAAAUAUCAAACGAAUCCUCUCUCUGUCUUCGAUCAUGGAAUAUAAUCACGCGAAUUUAUUACUCUUAAUGUAAACACGUUUCUGAUUUCUGUUUAAAAUCAUCAGAAGCUCGGUCACGUGUGAAUGAUAAGACGAUAUCUUGAAGGUAUGUAUAUAUAUAUAUAUAUAUAUUUAUACACGCCUUGAACCGACGCGUUUCAAAGUUUCGACGUUUGAGUUGGGGAUUAAUUUGCAUAGCUGAUCAACACCGAAAAACGUGGUAAAUAUUUGACCGCCGUGUGUUUCCUCCCUGAAUAUCCGAAUAUCUCGACGAGUCGGAAGCGGAUGACGCCGUGUUGCAUCGAUGAAUCGCAGGCGCAACGGUGAAAUCCUCUUUUACCCUGCGCUUCCAAAGUAACGUUAAAACGUGAAUUUCGACGAUUAUGUAUGCAGAGAGGUAUAAAUCCACGUCUGGGACUGGAUUAAAGGCUGCUCCACGAUACUUUUGAUGUUCGAUUGCCUACCUUGAUAAGGCAUAAGGAGGCGCCUGUUUGCACGAUACACAUAGAUAUACACACGCGCACGUAGGUAUACGUACACGUGGCUGGUUUAUAGUGUUUACAUUGAUUUCCAUCGACGACAGAACCAUGACAAAUAUUGUUAAAACGAGCCGGGCCAAGGAAAUGCGAAAUACCGAGGGAGAACCGAGCGAGUAUAUUUUCACGAGCUGAGCAAACGUUAUCUCGCCCGGUAUGAUAAACUAUCGCGUCAUUUGUUUGAAUGUUUUAAUAAGAAUUAAGACGAGCUUUUGAUGGUUUAUAUUUUGAAUAUAACGAAUUGGAUAUGAUGUUAUCUCGGAAGCGAAAUUGAUCACAUUGAUCAGUCGUGAAGGAUUAAAUAAUAUCAGUUAUGCAUUUUAGGUAUUAAGUUCAAAGAUUGGAAGAGAAUGGAAUUCUUUGAGUCGAUCUGACUUCUUUUGAGAGUUUGGCUUUGCGUUAUAUCGUAGAGACAGAACUUUCGCUGUACAUAGAAAAGUAUUGAAUCAUUAAAAACAUAUAUUCGUAUUGUAUACUUAAAAAUAUUGGAACAGACAGUUCAAUUAAGAAAGGUGAUUUUGCAUAAAAAAGCAAGGGGAGGAUACACAAUAGAAUUUUCUGACGCAAGAUUUCAUAUUCGAGAUUUAAUAAUUCAUAGAUUUAAUAAUUCACCGAGCUCGUAUGCGCAUAGUAAACAAAGAAGCUGUAGAACCAGGUUGUCGAUACCGUUCAAAUUAUUCUAAUACCGCAAUAAAGUGUAUCAUAUGAAAA
Molecule: long non-coding RNA, 1640 nt
Organism: Apis cerana (Asiatic honeybee)
Lineage: Eukaryota; Metazoa; Arthropoda; Insecta; Hymenoptera; Apidae
Source: RefSeq, a predicted model, not a curated record